RNAcentral lists this ribosomal RNA (346 nucleotides) under uncultured Nitrospira sp. Its description in RNAcentral is "bacterial SSU rRNA". It matches the Rfam family "Bacterial small subunit ribosomal RNA", at positions 355 to 702 of the family's 1533-position model. Lineage: Bacteria; Pseudomonadati; Nitrospirota; Nitrospiria; Nitrospirales; Nitrospiraceae. The record is from RNAcentral.
UAAGGAAUAUUGCGCAAUGGGCGAAAGCCUGACGCAGCGACGCCGCGUGGGGAUGAAGGUCUUCGGAUUGUAAACCCCUUUCGGUAGGGAAGGAUGGAGGCGAGCAAUCGUUCGGACGGUACCUCCAGAAGCAGCCACGGCUAACUUCGUGCCAGCAGCCGCGGUAAUACGAAGGUGGCAAGCGUUGUUCGGAUUUACUGGGCGUACAGGGAGCGUAGGCGGUUCGGUAAGCCCUUUGUGAAAUCUCCAGGCUUAACCUGGAACAGUCGGAGGGGACUGCCGGGCUAGAGGACGGGAGAGGAGCGCGGAAUUCCCGGUGUAGCGGUGAAAUGCGUAGAGAUCGGGA